UAAUUCGUUUUGGCCAGAUCCUCAUUUAGUUAUGGUCGAUUCACACAUAACUACUCAAAAUCACCCGUUAUCACAAGUCUGACUAUAUCAUUGACAUUGAAAAACAGAGAAAAACUAUUGUGUGAAUAUUGGUGAGCUGACUA
RNAcentral lists this microRNA precursor (143 nucleotides) under Populus trichocarpa (black cottonwood). RNAcentral describes it as "MIR480 microRNA precursor family". It matches the Rfam family "MIR480 microRNA precursor family". Lineage: Eukaryota; Viridiplantae; Streptophyta; Magnoliopsida; Malpighiales; Salicaceae. The record is from Rfam by way of RNAcentral.